Molecule: transfer RNA, 73 nt
Filed under: Elusimicrobiota bacterium
Lineage: Bacteria; Pseudomonadati; Elusimicrobiota
Description: Elusimicrobia bacterium (rhizosphere metagenome) tRNA-Thr
Rfam family: tRNA
About the family: Transfer RNA (tRNA) molecules are approximately 80 nucleotides in length. Their secondary structure includes four short double-helical elements and three loops (D, anti-codon, and T loops).
Source: RNAcentral
GCCGAGGUAGCUCAGUUGGUAGAGCAACGGUUUCGUAAACCGUAGGUCGAGGGUUCGACUCCCUUCCUCGGCU